This 1089-nucleotide long non-coding RNA is filed under the name Homo sapiens (human). RNAcentral describes it as "non-protein coding lnc-NXPE3-2:1". Lineage: Eukaryota; Metazoa; Chordata; Mammalia; Primates; Hominidae. The record is from RNAcentral.
AUUCCAGUAUUAAAUUAUCCCUUCAUAAAAUUCUUCCUGUUGAUAGCUAUGCAUGUUUGAUGUAUUUUGUCUGUUAGUAUGCAUUGUGUUUGGCAAGAUUUCAUAACUGCAUAUUUUACCUCGCUCUUUGACCAUUCUCCCAGCUGUUACAUACAUUAGAGAUAAUGUGUGUAUAUAAAGUACAUAGUAUUCCGCAUAUGGCAGAUAUUAAAUAGUGGUAGCUAUUAUAAACAUUAUCAGUGUUCCAAAGUAUUAUUAUAUUAUGGAUCUAUAAUUUAUUAUUUUGUUGGUAUUAAUAUAUGUUACAUAUGAUAUAAGCUGAUUUCUCCUCAGAUCUUAAAUAUUUUUAUAACUAGUCUUUCUGUGUGGCACACACUACUGUCCUUGUUUACAGAAAUUCAAUAUAAAUCCCUAGAGACUUAUAAAAACAAACAAAAAUUUCUUAAAAUCCCCCAAAACAAAAAAACCUCAAGUUUUAAAUUCUGAAUUAAAAGUUCCAGAAUUAAAAUUCUUCUUGAAAAAAUGUGGCAUAUAAGGCAUUCAUGCCUUUAAAUAAGACAUAAAAUUAUAUUCUUAUCCCUCAUUCAGUUUGACAAAUAUGUGUUACCUGUAUUAAAAAGGGAAGGGGGAAGAAGAUUUUGGAUAUGAAAGUUUUGCAAAACAUAAAUUCUAAUCAACAUGUUUAUGAAGCAACUAUGUACUGAACAUUUACAAGUACUGUACUUCAUUUCUAGAUUAGUGAGCUCAAUUUAAGCUCAAUUUAACUCACCUUCCAAAUUUAGCCUUUUCUUUGGGGGAAAAGAGGUUUAAGUCAAAAUAUAAAGGAAAAGUAUAAUGGUUAGAAGUUUCUUAGCUUUAGGCCUUUGCAGAUCCAUGUAGGCCAAACCUCAUACAAAGGAAUGGUGAAGGGUCUUUCGUCAAAAAUUUUCUUAAUUUCUGUGGAUCCUAAAAUUCAACUAUAAAAGUCAGAGAAAGCAGAAGAAGCCAUGGAACUUGUAAUGCUCUCUGCCUUUUUGGACAAAGCUCACCUACUUCAUUUUUACCUCUUGGUGUCUAUAGUGGGUAAAGUUCAUCAUUAUAAAUAGAAAC